CUGUUCUUCACUUCUGCCUUGGCUCCUGAAAAUGCUACCUCAAAAAUAUUUUGUGAGUCCAUCUUUAGACACAGAGAUGUUAAAAUAAUCCAUAACUCAAAACAAAGCAUGUUUAAGCUUUAAAAGAAUAUUUCUCAAAGCAGUAACAAAAUUCUUUGAGCAAGACAUUCUUGGGACAAAUCCUCUGAAAUCAAUUGGCAUUCAGCCAAAUCAUUCCAUCUCAUUGAUAUCAAAGGUAUUUCUUAAUCAUUUAUGCUGAAUUCAACCAUAAACCUCAAUAACAAGGUUGAUGAAAAAGAACUGAACCACAAGGAUCCAAACCACUAAAACAGAGGACACUUAAACCAACAUUCUAUUUUGCAUUUUCAUCUUUAAUGGCAAAAUGUGCUGUAGUUUAAUCCUAAAUAAAUCUGCAGGGUACGGAACAGUCAGCAGUCUGAACAUCUCCCAGGGCAGCAGGAGUGACAGCUUUGGGUCUUGCUCUGGUCCCAACAUCACACUGCUGCCCCAUAUCCGGUGCUUAGCUUGGCCAGAGCCCCAGUCAUUCAGCAGAGGGGAUCUUGGCUAUGACACGAUCACAUGUGAGACUGCUGUAGCACUCUGCCUGCUGGGCUGUCAGACCUUUGUACCACCAUCCCACAGUGGAAAGUAGACUGAACAGAAGGCCAUUUAAUUCAUCUUGUCAUGGGUUUGGGUGGAAUUAAUUGAAAUUUGCUAAGAACAAACACUCCUUCCUGGAGACCAAUAGGAGUGAUAAUAAGCAUCCCUAACAUCCAGCUACAAAUUUCAAGAGUUCUCCUUCUAACUGUGAGAGAUAAGUUGUCUCAGGAUUAGCUGUAACUAUUGAUUGGUUAUCAGCUUGUAAGUUUGAACUGGCCAAUCAUGCCGCAGUAUUUGAUUUCAAGUUUUUUCCAACGGACAUUCUUGAAGUAUAUAAGGGAGGGCUUUCCCAGCCCAAAGCAAAGACACAGAGACAGGCUCACACAGACGAAGAGAGAGACAGAGACUUGCAUAUGCCACAGAGCCUCCAAGGCUGAAGUCACUUCAAUGGAGCAAAAGAGCUGUGAGAAUCCGAUUGCUGAUUUCAGUGUUUUGAUGCAAGCAGCAACUACGCCGGUGAUAGCAAGGGACAGGAUUGAAACCCAGAACAACGCCAGACCGGUAAGGGAUAUUCAACCUUCCCCCGUAACCCCCCUUGCUGGCUGCAGAUUGGGAGUAGGAAACAAUAGACUGCCCAUUUUAAAUUUCCUGCCAAACAUUAUGGCACCACCUACUGCUCAAACUGUUUUAAAUCAGCCAGCCGGAAGUUUUAUCCCUCCAACGACUACACCAUCGUUAGUUCCAGCUGCAUCAGGGAUGCCACCAAUGCUGCCUGGGCAGGCUUUUACCCAGGCGACCAAUAUGGUUAGGUGGCCACAGCUUUGAAUAUAAGAAGUUCACCUCCCGAAUCUGAGAUCACAAGUGGAAUUGAAACGUUAACUACAUUUUUUGGAACUGAUUUUCAGUUAUUCCUUGCCCAACGUGCAACAGCGGCCCGUAUUAAUACACCCUCGAUGUCCAUGACCCGCUCCCCAUCUGUUGUAAAUGGGGUGGGCUCUCCUAUGACGCCUCUAGCUUUUGGGGCUAUCUCUGGGACUGCACCAACUGAGGUUGAGGUUCCAGGAGCACGCCCAAGGUUUUCUGCAGAGGAGCAGCUGAGGAGAUCUUUGCACUCUGGAGUUCAGGCACUCUCGGCUCUUCUGAUCUGCGGCUGGGUGGCUCUUCAGAUGACUCACCAAACGGAAAAACAGAGUUUAGCCAAACAAUCUUUAAUCUGCAAUGGUCGGGUAUGAAGGAAAAGCCAAGUACGGAUGUAACAAAGUCAGCGCUGAAUGUUAGGUUUUGUCAGCGCUUUUUAAAGCAGUGCAGUGACCGCGCCCAUGCCCUGUGGAAAUUGGGAUCGUAGAAACACCCAGGAGCAUAGAAGAAUCCAAAGGCAGAUGCAUGAAUAAAUGUGAUAAAUGUA
Molecule: long non-coding RNA, 2005 nt
Organism: Pantherophis guttatus
Lineage: Eukaryota; Metazoa; Chordata; Lepidosauria; Squamata; Colubridae
Source: RefSeq, a predicted model, not a curated record